CGCAAGCCUGACGGAGCAAUACCGCGUGAGGGAGGAAGGCCUUUGGGUUGUAAACCUCUUUUCUCAAGGAAGAAGUUCUGACGGUACUUGAGGAAUCAGCAUCGGCUAACUCCGUGCCAGCAGCCGCGGUAAUACGGAGGAUGCAAGCGUUAUCCGGAAUCAUUGGGCGUAAAGCGUCCGCAGGUGGCCUCACAAGUCUGCUGUCAAAGACAGAAGCUCAACUUCUGAAAGGCAGUGGAAACUGGAGAGCUAGAGUACGGUAGGGGUUGAGGGAAUUCCCAGUGUAGCGGUGAAAUGCGUAGAUAUUGGGAAGAACACCAGUGGCGAAGGCGCUCAACUGGGCCGUAACUGACACUCAGGGACGAAAGCUAGGGGAGCG
This 379-nucleotide ribosomal RNA is filed under the name uncultured cyanobacterium. RNAcentral describes it as "bacterial SSU rRNA". It matches the Rfam family "Bacterial small subunit ribosomal RNA", at positions 376 to 770 of the family's 1533-position model. The record is from RNAcentral. Lineage: Bacteria; Bacillati; Cyanobacteriota.